RNAcentral lists this ribosomal RNA (425 nucleotides) under uncultured bacterium. Its description in RNAcentral is "partial 16S ribosomal RNA". It matches the Rfam family "Bacterial small subunit ribosomal RNA", at positions 354 to 796 of the family's 1533-position model. The record is from RNAcentral.
GUGGGGAAUAUUGGACAAUGGGCGAAAGCCUGAUCCAGCAAUGCCGCGUGAGUGAAGAAGGCCUUAGGAUUGUAAAGCUCUUUUACCCGGGAUGAUAAUGACAGUACCGGGAGAAUAAGCUCCGGCUAACUCCGUGCCAGCAGCCGCGGUAAUACGGAGGGAGCUAGCGUUGUUCGGAAUCACUGGGCGUAAAGCGCACGUAGGCGGCUUUGUAAGUUAGAGGUGAAAGCCCGGGGCUCAACUCCGGAACUGCCUUUAAGACUGCAUCGCUUGAAUCUGGGAGAGGUAAGUGGAAUUCCGAGUGUAGAGGUGAAAUUCGUAGAUAUUCGGAAGAACACCAGUGGCGAAGGCGGCUUACUGGACCAGAAUUGACGCUGAGGUGCGAAAGCGUGGGGAGCAAACAGGAUUAGAAACCCUAGUAGUCC